RNAcentral lists this transfer RNA (61 nucleotides) under Temnothorax nigriceps. RNAcentral describes it as "tRNA-Leu". Lineage: Eukaryota; Metazoa; Arthropoda; Insecta; Hymenoptera; Formicidae. The record is from RNAcentral.
UAUGGCAGAUUAGUGCAAAGGAUUUAAAAUCCUAAAAUAAAGAUUUUCUCUUUUAUUAAAA